Molecule: long non-coding RNA, 1471 nt
Organism: Nelumbo nucifera (sacred lotus)
Lineage: Eukaryota; Viridiplantae; Streptophyta; Magnoliopsida; Proteales; Nelumbonaceae
Source: RefSeq, a predicted model, not a curated record
CUUCUCCAUCCUCUUCUUCACGCUCAGAAAGCUACUGCGGCAAAACCUUCCAACGGUGUGGAGAAGCAAAAGCCGACGAUCCUGGCCUGGCCAUGCUGCCUCGUAGAUCUCAUAGUUUUCAUCGGCUCAAAGCAAUGGAGUCUUGAUACAAGAAGAAGAAGAAGAGGAGGAGGAGAAAGAUAGAGAUGAGAUGGGUGUUCCUCUGCCCAUAGAAACCCUAAGAAAGCGAGCGGCCUUCAUGAGAGAAACACUCUAGAAGAGCCAGACCAAAGAGGCACUCUAGAAGAGCUAGACCAUUACAGACAACAUGAUCGUUAUUAUCGGCUCCUUCGAUCACCGUCUCUCUGCUCUAGAGACUGCGAUGCGCCUCACUCAGGUAUGCGCCCCACUCAAAGACUAAGGGCAGGUUGGUCAUUAUGGUGAAAUGAGGAACCAGAAACGAACUUUCUGGUUUGGUUUCAGUUGGGUGAGGAUAUCUUUCGGUUACAUUCAUUUCUUUCACUGAGUGAAACCAAUAAACAACAAUAACAAAGAAAGAAAGAGAGAGUAAUGACACAUCUUCUCUCCUUAUUGCGUAUGACUGAAUCUGAAUGUCUUUCUCUGGGUUGAUGAAGAAUGGUGGUAGAGUAGAGAGAGAGAGCAGGAGUCUUGACCACUGACGUUGGCUUUCGUGCCGACGUCGUUUCCAGCUUCCAUGCGUGACAUGCAGAACUAAUUUUAAUCGGCAAGCGACGUGGAGAGACUGGACCCGUUGGAUCGGGACUCGAGAGAAACGAGGUGAUAGUGAUGAUGAGGUGCAUUUAAGAGGGAGCAGGAAGCAUGGCGGAAAGUUGAAGCCUGUCACGCUCAAACUCAGAGAGUCUCUCUCGCCUCAUUCUAUCUUUCUCUCACUCUUCUCUCCGGAGCUCGGGCUCCCCACAUCCACAUGAGGAAGAUGAUAAAACACAAAGAAAGGGAGAUAAAGCGUCAACAGGAAGGUAGUUGGUUAGGUCUGCAGGCGGCCCCAUCACUGUCUGGUCUGGUCUGCCCUCAAUUCUCGCGCAAAUUGGUGGACGAAUGAACGAGAGGCGGAGGAAGGAGGAAGGAGAUAAAGAACACAAAGCAGACCAGCCAUCGUUUUCAGAACGUGGGGAUUUGAUGGGUGGUAGCAGCAGCAGCAGAAGAGACGUCUUCUCGACAUUCAGCUUGCAAAGACACAAGCUCUUCUCCUUUCCUGGCAUCAUUCUCAGACAAAUAAAUCUUGUUUGAGAUCGGUGAAAAAGAUCUUAAUUGAGGAGUCAAAUGUCCAACCGGUUAAUAGCCCAGUUACUGUUUGUGGUGACAUUCAUGGCCAGUUCAUGAUCUAAUGAAACUCUUUCAGACGGGAUGUCAUGUACCAGAGACAAAUUACAUAUUUAUGGGAGAUUUUGUUGAUUGUGGCUACAAUAGUCUAGAAGUUUUUACAAUUCUUUUGCUUCUCAAAGCAAGGUAU